Piliocolobus tephrosceles (Ugandan red Colobus) is the source of this 2247-nucleotide RNA transcript. It is a transcript of the gene named polyadenylate-binding protein 1 pseudogene, with no coding region annotated. The transcript has a single exon. NCBI's taxonomy places the organism in Eukaryota, Metazoa, Chordata, Mammalia, Primates, Cercopithecidae. The record is from RefSeq and is a predicted model, not a curated record.
CCCGGCUCCGGCCCCCAGCUCUGGCACUGGCUCUCCACCUCUCACGGAAAGGUCGCGGCCUGUGGCCCUGCGGGCAGCCGUGCGGAGAUGAACCCCAGCGCCCCCAGCUACCCCAUGGCCUCGCUCUAAGUGGGGGACCUCCACCCCGACGUGACCCAGGCGAUGCUCUACGAGAAGUUCAGCCCGGCUGGGCCCAUCCUCUCCAUCUGGGUCUGCAGGGACAUGAUCACCCGCGGCUCCUUGGGCUACGGGUAUGUGAACUUCCAGCAGCUGGCGGACGCCGAGCGUGCUUUGGACACCGUGAAUUUUGAUGUUAUAAAGGGCAAACCAGUACGCAUCAUGUGGUCUCAGCGUGAUCCAUCACUUUGCAAAAGUGGAGUAGGCAACAUAUUCAUUAAAAAUCUGGACAAAUCCAUUGAUAAUAAAGCACUGUAUGAUACAUUUUCUGCUUUUGGUAACAUCCUUUCGUGUAAGGUGGUUUGUGAUGAAAAUGGUUCCAAGGGCUAUGGAUUUGUACACUUUGAGACGCAAGAAGCAGCUGAAUGAGCUAUUGAAAAAAUGAAUGGAAUGCUCCUAAAUGAUCGCAAAGUAUUUGCUGGACGAUUUAGGUCUGGUAAAGAACGAGAAGCUGAACUCGGAGCUAGGGCAAAAGAAUUCACCAAUGUUUACAUCAAGAAUUUUGGAGAAGACAUGGAUGAUGAGCGCCUUAAGGAUCUCUUUGGCAAGUUUGGGCCUGCCUUAAGUGUGAAAGUUAUGACUGAUGAAAGUGGAAAAUCCAAAGGAUUUGGAUUUGUAAGCUUUGAAAGGCAUGAAGAUGCACAGAAAGCUGUGGAUGAGAUGAAUGGAAAGGAGCUCAAUGGAAAACAAAUUUACGUUGGUGGAGCUCAGAAAAAGGUGAAACGGCAGACGGAACUUAAACGCAAAUUUGAACAGAUGAAGCAAGAUAGGAUCACCAGAUACCAGGGUGUUAAUCUUUAUGUGAAAAAUCUUGAUGAUGGUAUUGAUGAUGAAAGUCUCCGGAAAGAGUUUUCUCCAUUUGGUACAAUCACUAGUGCAAAGGUUAUGAUGGAGGGUGGUCACAGCAAAGGGUUUGGUUUUGUAUGUUUCUCCUCCCCAGAAGAAGCCACUAAAGCAGUUACAGAAAUGAACGGUAGAAUUGUGGACACAAAGCCAUUGUAUGUAGCUUUAGCUCAGCGCAAAGAAGAGCACCAGGCUCACCUCACUAACCAGUGUAUGCAGAGAAUGGCAAGUGUACGAGCUGUGCCCAACCCUGUAAUCAACCCUUACCAGCCAGCACCUCCUUCAGGUUACUUCAUGGCAGCUAUCCCACAGACUGAGAACCGUGCUGCAUACUAUCCUCCUAGCCAAAUUGCUCAACUAAGACCAAGUCCUCCCUGGACUGCUCAGGGUGCCAGACCUCAUCCAUUCCAAAAUAUGCCCGGUGCUAUCCGCCCAGCUGCUCCUACACCACCAUUUAGUACUAUGAGACCAGCUUCUUCACAGGUUCCACGAGUCAUGUCAACACAGCGUGUUGCUAACACAUCAACACAGACAGUGGGUCCACGUCCUGCAGCUGCAGCUGCUGCAGCUACUCCUGCUGUCCGCACCGUUCCACAGUAUAAAUAUGCUGCAGGAGUUCGCAAUCCUCAGCAACAUCUUAAUGCACAGCCACAAGUUACAAUGCAACAGCCUGCUGUUCAUGUACAAGGUCAGGAACCUUUGACUGCUUCCAUGUUGGCAUCUGCCCCUCCUCAAGAGCAAAAGCAAAUGUUGGGUGAACGGCUGUUUCCUCUUAUUCAAGCCAUGCACCCUACUCUUGCCGGUAAAAUCACUGGCAUGUUGUUGGAGAUUGAUAAUUCAGAACUUCUUCAUAUGCUCGAGUCUCCUGAGUCACUCCGUUCUAAGGUUGAUGAAGCUGUAGCUGUACUACAAGCCCACCAAGCUAAAGAGGCUGCCCAGAAAGCAGUUAACAGUGCCACUGGUGUUCCAACUGUUUACAAUUGAUCAGGGACCACGAAAAGAAACUUGUGCUUCACCGAAGAAAAAUAUCUAAACAUCGAAAAACUUGAAUAUUAUGGGGAAAAAAAAAUUGCAAAAUAUAAAACAGAUAAAAAAAGGAAAGGAAACUUUGAACCUUAUGUACCGAGCAAAUGCCAGGUCUAGCAAGCAUAAUGCUAGUCCUAGAUUACUUAUUGAUUUAAAAACAAAACAAAACAAAAAACACAAAAAAAUAGUAAAAUAUAAAAA